RNAcentral lists this ribosomal RNA (414 nucleotides) under Pseudomonas sp. H6-10-l. RNAcentral describes it as "bacterial SSU rRNA". It matches the Rfam family "Bacterial small subunit ribosomal RNA", at positions 236 to 643 of the family's 1533-position model. The record is from RNAcentral. Lineage: Bacteria; Pseudomonadati; Pseudomonadota; Gammaproteobacteria; Pseudomonadales; Pseudomonadaceae.
UCGGAUUAGCUAGUUGGUGAGGUAAUGGCUCACCAAGGCGACGAUCCGUAACUGGUCUGAGAGGAUGAUCAGUCACNCUGGAACUGAGACACGGUCCAGACUCCUACGGGAGGCAGCAGUGGGGAAUAUUGGACAAUGGGCGAAAGCCUGAUCCAGCCAUGCCGCGUGUGUGAAGAAGGUCUUCGGAUUGUAAAGCACUUUAAGUUGGGAGGAAGGGCAGUCAGGAAUACCNNGCUGUCUUGACGUUACCGACAGAAUAAGCACCGGCUAACUCUGUGCCAGCAGCCGCGGUAAUACAGAGGGUGCAAGCGUUAAUCGGAAUUACUGGGCGUAAAGCGCGCGUAGGUGGUUUGUUAAGUUGAAUGUGAAAUCCCCGGGCUCAACCUGGGAACUGCAUCCAAAACUGGCAAGCUA